GGGGCUGUAGCUUAGUGGCAGAGCGCCUGUCUUGCACAUGUGAGGCACUAGGUUCGAUCCUCAGCACCA
Non-coding RNA from Ictidomys tridecemlineatus (thirteen-lined ground squirrel), 69 nucleotides. NCBI's taxonomy places the organism in Eukaryota, Metazoa, Chordata, Mammalia, Rodentia, Sciuridae. The record is from Rfam.